Macrobrachium nipponense is the source of this 418-nucleotide long non-coding RNA. RefSeq lists it as uncharacterized. Lineage: Eukaryota; Metazoa; Arthropoda; Malacostraca; Decapoda; Palaemonidae. The transcript has 4 exons. The record is from RefSeq and is a predicted model, not a curated record.
GCUGAGUUGGCUGGCAGACGUAUCAAUUCAGUACAAUUAGUUCAUCUGCUCCAACUUCGACCCCAUGGGCUGGUUUCAGUGACGGACGGUGGGGCAGUUACGGUCUUUUGUCCCACACGGAUUCGUACUUUUUUUUUAGGCAAUAACUCCGCACGGACUGCAAGGAACGGUCCCACGAAUACAGCAGCCACUAGGGAAUGGGGCCUCAAAUGUAUUUCGCCGUGUUUAGAACUGACCCCUGUGGGUAAAUUUCAGUCGACCCCCCAAAAAUAACUGUAAAUUCUUGAUCUUGCCGAGGACCUGCGUGUUGGAAUGUGGUUUAUUACAGAAAUAAUGCUACGAUGAAUAUUCAAGGCUGGUUGAAAAAAGAAAAAAAAAAACUGUUGCUAUCCCGAGAUUCUUCAGAACUUCAAUAUUC